RNAcentral lists this ribosomal RNA (253 nucleotides) under uncultured bacterium. RNAcentral describes it as "partial 16S ribosomal RNA". It matches the Rfam family "Bacterial small subunit ribosomal RNA", at positions 524 to 776 of the family's 1533-position model. The record is from RNAcentral.
UACGAAGGGGGCUAGCGUUGCUCGGAAUUACUGGGCGUAAAGCGCACGUAGGCGGCUCUUUAAGUCGGGGGUGAAAUCCUGGAGCUCAACUCCAGAACUGCCUUCGAUACUAAAGAGCUUGAGUCCGGGAGAGGUGAGUGGAACUGCGAGUGUAGAGGUGAAAUUCGUAGAUAUUCGCAAGAACACCAGUGGCGAAGGCGGCUCACUGGCCCGGUACUGACGCUGAGGUGCGAAAGCGUGGGGAGCAAACAGG